Molecule: ribosomal RNA, 96 nt
Filed under: Acinetobacter pseudolwoffii
Lineage: Bacteria; Pseudomonadati; Pseudomonadota; Gammaproteobacteria; Moraxellales; Moraxellaceae
Source: RNAcentral
UGAACCACCUGAUCCCUUCCCGAACUCAGAAGUGAAACCUCUUUGCGCUGAUGGUAGUGUGGGGUUACCCAUGUGAGAGUAAGUCAUCGCCAGCUC